GGGUCAGUAGGUUGGUCGUGCCACCGGUACGUACUGGUCUCACUGAUUCCUCCUUCCUGAAGAACCGUAAUGCCAUUAAUUUGGUGUUGCGGGGAAACAGGACUUUUACUUUGAAAAAAUUAGAGUGUUUAAAGCAAGCUAACGCUUGAAUACAUUAGCAUGGAAUAAUGAAAUAGGACGAUCGAUCCUAUUUUGUUGGUUUCUAUGAUUGACGUA
Molecule: ribosomal RNA, 216 nt
Filed under: Glomeromycotina sp.
Lineage: Eukaryota; Fungi; Glomeromycota
Description: partial small subunit ribosomal RNA
Rfam family: Eukaryotic small subunit ribosomal RNA (bases 40-216)
Source: RNAcentral